UGAAGACCUUCGGGUUGUAAAGCUCUGUCUUUGGGGACGAUAAUGACGGUACCCAAGGAGGAAGCCACGGCUAACUACGUGCCAGCAGCCGCGGUAAUACGUAGGUGGCAAGCGUUGUCCGGAUUUACUGGGCGUAAAGGAUGCGUAGGCGGACUUUUAAGUGAGAUGUGAAAUUCCCGGGCUUAACUUGGGAGCUGCAUUUCAAACUGGGAGUCUAGAGUGCGGGAGAGGAAAGUGGAAUUCCUAGUGUAGCGGUGAAAUGCGUAGAGAUUAGGAAGAACACCAGUGGCGAAGGCGACUUUCUGGACCUGUAACUGACGCUGAGGCAUGAAAGCGUGGGUAGCAAACAGGAUUAGAUACCCUGGUAGUCCACGCCGUAAACGAUGAGUACUAGGUGUAGGAGGUAUCGACCCCUUCUGUGCCGCAGUUAACACAAUAAGUACUCCGCCUGGGAAGUACGAUCGCAAGAUUA
RNAcentral lists this ribosomal RNA (472 nucleotides) under uncultured Eubacteriales bacterium. RNAcentral's name for it is "bacterial SSU rRNA". It matches the Rfam family "Bacterial small subunit ribosomal RNA", at positions 409 to 896 of the family's 1533-position model. The record is from RNAcentral. Lineage: Bacteria; Bacillati; Bacillota; Clostridia; Eubacteriales.